GUUUUCGCUUCAGCAGCACAUACACUAAAAGUAGGACAAGACAAAGAUUAACAUGACCCAUGAGCAAUGAUGACAUGCAAAUUCAUGAAGAAUUCUAUCUUUAA
Erinaceus europaeus (western European hedgehog) is the source of this 104-nucleotide small nuclear RNA. NCBI's taxonomy places the organism in Eukaryota, Metazoa, Chordata, Mammalia, Eulipotyphla, Erinaceidae. The record is from Ensembl.